UGAAGCCAAUGAUGAAGAAAAGUUAUCCCUGUCUCAGUGUACAAGAUGCCGACUCUUUCCUCGUUACUGAGGCUUCA
Small nucleolar RNA from Pecten maximus, 77 nucleotides. RefSeq annotates it as small nucleolar RNA R38. The record is from RefSeq and is a predicted model, not a curated record. Lineage: Eukaryota; Metazoa; Mollusca; Bivalvia; Pectinida; Pectinidae. The transcript has a single exon.